GAGUUUGAUCCUGGCUCAGAACGAACGCUGGCGGCAUGCCUAACACAUGCAAGUCGAACGGGAUCCUGGCUUCGGCCAGGUGAGAGUGGCGGACGGGUGAGUAACGCGUGGGAACCUGCCCAGUGGUGUGGGAUAACUGCGGGAAACUGCAGCUAAUACCGCAUGAGCCCGAGAGGGGAAAGAUUUAUCGCCAUUGGAGGGGCCCGCGUUCGAUUAGGUAGUUGGUGAGGUAACGGCUCACCAAGCCUAUGAUCGAUAGCCGGUCUGAGAGGAUGAUCAGCCACACUGGGACUGAGAUACGGCCCAGACUCCUACGGGAGGCAGCAGUGGGGAAUAUUGGACAAUGGGGGCAACCCUGAUCCAGCAAUGCCGCGUGAGUGAUGAAGGCCUUC
Molecule: ribosomal RNA, 392 nt
Filed under: uncultured Alphaproteobacteria bacterium
Lineage: Bacteria; Pseudomonadati; Pseudomonadota; Alphaproteobacteria
Description: bacterial SSU rRNA
Rfam family: Bacterial small subunit ribosomal RNA
Source: RNAcentral